AAUAAUAAUAAUAACACGGUGUCUCGUAGCUCCAUCGGUAGCUCACUCAGCUCACACACUGAGGUCCAGAGUUCGAGUCUCCUCCGGUUUGUGUAUCUUGCCUGGUGAAGGAUGUUGGAGGUGCGAGGCCGGGUGCUGGUGUACACCAUUGUCAGCUGCCCUCACUGUCUUGCUGCCAAGAAAACGCUGAAAGACCUCGGGGUUCCGUUCAUUGAUGUACCGGUUGAACGCUUUCCAGCCGUGAGGAGCUGG
Non-coding RNA from Cherax quadricarinatus, 252 nucleotides. Lineage: Eukaryota; Metazoa; Arthropoda; Malacostraca; Decapoda; Parastacidae. The record is from RefSeq and is a predicted model, not a curated record.